GAUGAACGCUGGCGGCGUGCCUAAUACAUGCAAGUCGAGCGAACAGAUGAGGAGCUUGCUCCUCUGACGUUAGCGGCGGACGGGUGAGUAACACGUGGAUAACCUACCUAUAAGACUGGGAUAACUUCGGGAAACCGGAGCUAAUACCGGAUAAUAUAUUGAACCGCAUGGUUCAAUAGUGAAAGACGGUUUUGCUGUCACUUAUAGAUGGAUCUGCGCCGCAUUAGCUAGUUGGCAAGGUAACGGCUUACCAAGGCAACGAUGCGUAGCCGACCUGAGAGGGUGAUCGGCCACACUGGAACUGAGACACGGUCCAGACUCCUACGGGAGGCAGCAGUAGGGAAUCUUCCGCAAUGGGCGAAAGCCUGACGGAGCAACGCCGCGUGAGUGAUGAAGGUCUUCGGAUCGUAAAACUCUGUUAUUAGGGAAGAACAAAUGUGUAAGUAACUAUGCACGUCUUGACGGUACCUAAUCAGAAAGCCACGGCUAACUACGUG
This 497-nucleotide ribosomal RNA is filed under the name uncultured bacterium. RNAcentral's name for it is "partial 16S ribosomal RNA". It matches the Rfam family "Bacterial small subunit ribosomal RNA", at positions 28 to 507 of the family's 1533-position model. The record is from RNAcentral.